UACGUAGGUGGCAAGCGUUGUCCGGAUUUACUGGGCGUAAAGGAUGCGUAGGCGGACAUUUAAGUCAGAUGUGAAAUACCCGAGCUUAACUUGGGUGCUGCAUUUGAAACUGGGUGUCUAGAGUGCAGGAGAGGUAAGUGGAAUUCCUAGUGUAGCGGUGAAAUGCGUAGAGAUUAGGAAGAACACCAGUGGCGAAGGCGACUUACUGGACGAUUGUUGACGCUGAGGUGCGAAAGCGUGGGGAGCAAACAGG
Molecule: ribosomal RNA, 253 nt
Filed under: uncultured bacterium
Lineage: Bacteria
Description: partial 16S ribosomal RNA
Rfam family: Bacterial small subunit ribosomal RNA
Source: RNAcentral